RNAcentral lists this ribosomal RNA (253 nucleotides) under uncultured bacterium. RNAcentral's name for it is "partial 16S ribosomal RNA". It matches the Rfam family "Bacterial small subunit ribosomal RNA", at positions 524 to 776 of the family's 1533-position model. The record is from RNAcentral.
UACGUAGGGUGCAAGCGUUAAUCGGAAUUACUGGGCGUAAAGCGUGCGCAGGCGGUUAUGCAAGACAGAUGUGAAAUCCCCGGGCUCAACCUGGGAACUGCAUUUGUGACUGCAUGGCUAGAGUACGGUAGAGGGGGAUGGAAUUCCGCGUGUAGCAGUGAAAUGCGUAGAUAUGCGGAGGAACACCGGUGGCGAAGGCGGCAUCCUGGACCGGUAUUGACGCUGAGGCGCGAAAGCCAGGGGAGCAAACGGG